Heterocephalus glaber (naked mole-rat) is the source of this 1052-nucleotide long non-coding RNA. The record is from Ensembl. NCBI's taxonomy places the organism in Eukaryota, Metazoa, Chordata, Mammalia, Rodentia, Bathyergidae.
CAGCCACGGGCUAAAGACUACGGGCUGCAACUUCCGGUCCUCCGCGGGCCCCAUCGACCUCACUCCUAGAGUGCAAGGGAUCGGCGCGGGCCUUAUCUCCCAACAGCCCGAGCUCGGGCCACUGCACGCCAUAGUCCCAGAGCGCUGCGCGAGUGGCCGGCUGUGGCGGCUCGGGGUGCGCCCCUGCUGACAGCGUCUUUCAGCGGGAACGCCCUGGAGAGGACGAGUGGUGACCGAACAGCUACUACGGUGGGACCAAUCCGAUGUCGCCUUGGUUCCCACGCUGUCUUCCUGGGGAGCGUUAGGUCGCCCUGGCAGCGUGUGGCUCCGCGUCUGGGGCUGAGCUGAGUGCGGUUACCCAAGGCCAGGUCCUGGUUUCCGGGAGCCACUCAUUAGAAGCCUAUCCCACCUCUGCCUGUUGACAAUAUAAAUGUUCAUUUGGGUCUCCCUUGGAAGCCUCAUACAGAGGUUUAUCAAGUAGCCUGAGAUCGGCUCUCCAUAAGCAAAGAAAGCCCGCGAGCCCCAGAAAAGACAGGAUCUCGGCUUUGGAGGAAGGGAUUGGGAAGUCCCGAAUAAGCUGUUUAGGGUCCAAGGUGAGCUCUCAUUGUUGAUAUGAGACCUUAACCCCGAGAUAUUGUACUGUGUGUUGGGAGAGUUGGGCCUUGUCCUUUGAGACCCAGUAUCCCUUUUUACACAAGAAGUUAAGUAAUGAGGCUGUGUGUUGUUGGGAGAGUUCAAGAGUGGGACUGCACAAAAGCAAGUCAUCUACAUAUUGGAGUAGCUUAGAGGGAGACAGGUCUAAUUUUAAGAGGUCAGCAGCCAAGGCCUGUCCAAAGAGGUGUGGACUAUCCUGAAAACACUGUGGGAGGACCGUCCAAGUAAGUUGAUCGGAGUGUCCUGUAUCAGGGUCAGUCCAUGUAAAUGCAAAGAGGUCUUGUGAGUUGGGGUGUAAGGAAAUGGUGAAAAAGGCAUCUUUGAGGUCUAGAACCAUGAAAUGAUGUGAAGAGGAGGAGAUAUAGGACAGCAGAGUGUAGGGGUUAGGAACAACAGAG